GAAAAUUAACUUGCAAGAAGAUACAUUCUGUGUGCAAUCUCACUUCUCUGAGCAGCACCAUUGCCCCUUGCUUGAGGGGAGGAAUGUCUCCUUUGGGGCUGAGGGGAAUACCACAGACCCCUUGGAGAGUUGCCUCCAUCUUGGGAGUCUCUCUGGGAUCUGAGCUGGGCAGACAGCCAUGAGGGUGGGACCUGCCUCAGUGACACCUGUGGUGGGAAGCAGACCUGAUGCUGGCUGCAAUCUGCAAUCAGAGGUCGUUUGUUUUCCUGUAUUGGUUGUGCGGUGGCCGUGGCAAUGGUUCACUUGUGCUGUUGCAUAGUCCUGACCUUUGAAAAGUGGCACGGUGCAUUCAUCUUUCCCAACCUCAUCUGCCUUUAGCAAGGUGUCCCCAGCUCUGGAACUUCUGGCAAUUUGACAAAGGCGUCUUCUUACAUGUCAGUUCUUGUUAUCUCCUCUGUCUUCUUGACAUAUGACAGACAUGUCAGGUCUCAUUUUUUCACUGCUCGCUUUGUUAGCCCCUUCACAGGUGCAAGAUUCCACAUCUUCUUUUUUGAUCCAUUCCCAGGGUACUUCUUAUUUUCCUGAAUUACCUUUGUGGCUUUUCUUGACAACUUAAAAAAUCCUUUUUGUCACUGUUGGUUUGUUGUUUGUUCUUCACAAAGAAAAACAGCUUUUCAGAGCCCUAAUUAGCUAGCCAACAUAAACUACUUCCAUACCUGUAAAGCGUCCAAUAGGAGAUCAGGCAAUGGGUAAAUAUUGUUGAAAUUGUAUAUAUUGGCUGCACAGGCUUAAACUCUUACUGAAAGUGAUGAAAUUAAGCAAGAAGCCUCAUAAUUUAAAUCACUUAUUCCUCCCUUCAUAUGUGGCUUUUUGCACUACUUUACCAUUGUAAAGGUUACAUCAAUCUGAAGUCAAAUUGACAUUGUAAAUGAAAGCAGAUAUUUACAGCAAAUAGAAACUUUGAAAACACUGAUUUGCUGUGUUCUAAUCUUUCUAGCUUUUAUACCAAUUAAUAUACUUUGAUUUUGAGGCUUUUCUAGAUUAAGGUUUCAUUUCUACAAUCUCUAGCAUAAGUAAUUACAACUGUGUCUGUUCCACUUCAGAAGUUAAUAGGACAAAACUGUGAACAGUCAUGUUCAUCUUGCCUUUCAGAGUCCUCCUGUUGUCCACAGAGAUGAUUUACAUAUUGACAAAGCUAUUACUUUGUUUUUGCAUAAAGUUUAAAGAGAUCGUUUGUAUUAAAGUUAAGAAUGUUUUUAGAGUACUGGCUAAGUGGCGAGCUAGGGAUAUCUGAAAUCCUGCUAUUGAUUUAUAUCACAAUAUUCAUACUGUUUUCUUCCACAAAGUGGAGUUGUCAAACAGACAAAACUGUCACACUGAAUUAGAACACAGUUCAAAUGUAAAAUAUAAAAGAAUAUUGAACCUAAACUUAGAAGAAAGGUAAGUGACUUUAGCAAGGAAAAGGUAGAAGUCUUUAAAAGGUUCUUCCUAUCAGGCAGCUUCCAGCAAUAAAAUAGAGAUUGUAAUAUUUUGUUAUUAUAAUCAGUAUAAUGCAUUCUUUCAGAAAUUUCCCAUCGACACAUACUUUUGUGCUAUAAACACUUUAAACUGUGUCUCAACAAUAAAAACAUGAAGAACCUCCCAUUUACAUUUUCUAAGAUAUUUGCUGAUAUUUAUGCAUGGCUGAGUACAACAAUGCCUAUCUCUGAGAGGUGUUAAGUCCCUUCAUUAAUUUAUCAUUUAUCAUUUUUUCACUGUUCUAAACUGCAAGAGUGUUUACAGAUGUAUGAUUGCAUGCAUAUUUUUAAAUAUAUAUGAAAAGCAAUAUGUGAACU
Long non-coding RNA from Gallus gallus (chicken), 1835 nucleotides. The record is from Ensembl. NCBI's taxonomy places the organism in Eukaryota, Metazoa, Chordata, Aves, Galliformes, Phasianidae.